GAGUUUGAUCAUGGCUCAGAUUGAACGCUGGCGGCAUGCCUUACACAUGCAAGUCGAACGGCAGCGCGGGAGCAAUCCUGGCGGCGAGUGGCGAACGGGUGAGUAAUACAUCGGAACGUGCCCAAUCGUGGGGGAUAACGCAGCGAAAGCUGUGCUAAUACCGCAUACGAUCUACGGAUGAAAGCAGGGGAUCGCAAGACCUUGCGCGAAUGGAGCGGCCGAUGGCAGAUUAGAUAGUUGGUGAGGUAAAGGCUCACUAAGCCUUCGAUCUGUAGCUGGUCUGAGAGGACGACCAGCCACACUGGGACUGAGACACGGCCCAGACUCCUACGGGAGGCAGCAGUGGGGAAUUUUGGACAAUGGGCGAAAGCCUGAUCCAGCCAUGCCGCGUGCAGGAUGAAGGCCUUCGGGUUGUAAACUGCUUUUGUACGGAACGAAACGGUCUUCUCUAAUAAAGAGGGCUAAUGACGGUACCGUAAGAAUAAGCACCGGCUAACUACGUGCCAGCAGCCGCGGUAAUACG
Molecule: ribosomal RNA, 523 nt
Filed under: uncultured eubacterium WR1111
Lineage: Bacteria
Description: bacterial SSU rRNA
Rfam family: Bacterial small subunit ribosomal RNA
Source: RNAcentral